Molecule: non-coding RNA, 259 nt
Organism: Drosophila melanogaster (fruit fly)
Lineage: Eukaryota; Metazoa; Arthropoda; Insecta; Diptera; Drosophilidae
Source: Ensembl
AGGCCAGGGAAAUAGAUGACCAGGCCAGCAAGGGAACCACGAUUCCAUGGUACAGACCAGGCCAAUGGAGAGCGCACUGCGUGUGCUUAGUAAAAAUUUAUGGGCCUAGUCUGGCAGAUGGAAAAGUUGAGGGGAAUACCAGUAGCGGCAUCAUUUGGCCAUUGUGAGCGGUCCUAUUUUUCACACCCUUCCUGGGGCUAGACUACAAGUAACUAUGAUGAAGCAUUGUACAGGGAAAAAUAUAUUUUGCAAGGAUUAU